UAUGUCCUGAUAAGUGGGCAUUUUUGCAGACAGAAAAACAAAUAAGGAGAGACAUUAACAUUAUCUUUCUGUUGCAUAUGUGUCUGAAUGUUCAGGGGAGCCUGGUCUUGUGCUUCUCUGUGAGACCAAUAACCCAGGAGGCCCCUCCCCUUCUUGGCCCCCUCCCCUAACAUUGGAUGGAUUGACUUCAAAGCAUCCUUUCAAACAUCCAGCUUUUCCAUUUGUCCCUCCAAGAGCCACUUCAUCUAAAUCUUGUUAUCACCUUGGGCUGCAUUUUUCCCUCCUAGGUCUCCAGGGGCUGAAGCUGAUUGGGACUGACAACCCCUGAUUAGGCUGAGAAUUCCACAGGCUGGUCUGUAGAUGGCUCUGCCAAAGAGACCCUCCUACUGUUCCACACAGUGCUCUGGGUUCUUAGGGAACAGCAUGGAAUGCUUUAGCCCCAUUUUGAAUUCUAGACCAACUAACAAAAUAAACAGGCCUGCUGGGAGCCAGAAGGUGUGGGACCCUGACAACUGAAUUAAAAUUUAUUGUUACCCCAAAUCUUUCCUAAAAUGAGUUUCUGUAAAUCAUCGUGCCUCAGAGAAGCCUGACCCUGCUUGUCUGGAGCCUCGAAACUGGUGUGAAAUCACAGUAUCCUGGAACUAUUUGAACAAAGAGAAGAGAGCCUAGUGCGGAUAGCACCUCUUAUUUUUUAGGAGAAAGUAGGAGACUGGAUUCUUUCCGGCUCGGAUGAAUUCCUGUGUGUGCCACAUCGUUUGCUGGAAAUGUGCCUGGGGUACCACUGAGCGAGGAAUGUGCAUCUAACGACUGCUAACAGAAAUGGAGCUGCCUGGGAGGGGGCGUUUGGGACUUCCCAGCUCUUGGAGACGCAGAGAUAAAACAAUGGAAAACAUGAACAUACAUCUCAGAGAAGGAAAAGAUGUGGAUGGGAAAUGGUCAUCGGUGGUCAGAGGGGUACCCAAACUGCCAAGAAUCUUCAUCAAUACAAGUAAGGAUAAGAUAGAAGAGAGCAGGCAUUCAAGCCCUGACUGGUGCCAAGGAGAAGCCAAUUUACAUUUGAGCCAUACUAUGCUGCAGGACUUCCCUGAAAGAGACUAUUGGCUAAAUGACAGCUCCUGCAGCAGUCUUAGAGUAAGGAUUAAAAUAAAAGUGAUAGUAUUUCUGCAGCACAGUCUAUGUAACUCGUCUGUGACCUCCUCUGCAGUGCUGUUUGGAGGUACAGAACUAUGUCUCUCUGGGUCUUGGAUGGGAUAUCUGAAUUUAAAUCUGUCCUCAAUCUGUCGGGUUCAGGAGUGGUAGUCUUGUGAAGAUGAAUUAUGUAAACAAGUUACAGUAAUGGAAUUCUUAUUUAUAAAC
Molecule: long non-coding RNA, 1356 nt
Filed under: Monodelphis domestica (gray short-tailed opossum)
Lineage: Eukaryota; Metazoa; Chordata; Mammalia; Didelphimorphia; Didelphidae
Description: lncRNA (ENSMODG00000037472.1)
Source: RNAcentral